UUUUGGACAAUGGGCGAAAGCCUGAUCCAGCAAUGCCGCGUGUGGGAAGAAGGCCUUCGGGUUGUAAACCACUUUUGUACGGAACGAAAAGGUCUGCCCUAAUACGGUGGGCCCAUGACGGUACCGUAAGAAUAAGCACCGGCUAACUACGUGCCAGCAGCCGCGGUAAUACGUAGGGUGCGAGCGUUAAUCGGAAUUACUGGGCGUAAAGCGUGCGCAGGCGGUUAUAUAGGACAGUUGUGAAAUCCCCGGGCUCAACCUGGGAAUUGCAUCUGUGACUGUAUAGCUAGAGUACGGUAGAGGGGGAUGGAAUUCCGCGUGUAGCAGUGAAAUGCGUAGAUAUGCGGAGGAACACCGAUGGCGAAGGCAAUCCCCUGGACCUGUACUGACGCUCAUGCACGAAA
This 404-nucleotide ribosomal RNA is filed under the name uncultured bacterium. RNAcentral describes it as "bacterial SSU rRNA". It matches the Rfam family "Bacterial small subunit ribosomal RNA", at positions 362 to 758 of the family's 1533-position model. The record is from RNAcentral.